UACAGAGGUCCCAAGCGUUGUUCGGAUUCACUGGGCGUAAAGGGUGCGUAAGCGGUCGGGUAAGUCUGAUGUGAAAUCUCACAGCUUAACUGUGAAACUGCGUUGGAUACUAUCCGGCUCGAGGAAUGGAGGGGAGACUGGAAUACUUGGUGUAGCAGUGAAAUGCGUAGAUAUCAAGUGGAACACCAGUGGCGAAGGCGAGUCUCUGGACAUUUCCUGACGCUGAGGCACGAAAGCCAGGGGAGCAAACGGG
RNAcentral lists this ribosomal RNA (253 nucleotides) under uncultured bacterium. Its description in RNAcentral is "partial 16S ribosomal RNA". It matches the Rfam family "Bacterial small subunit ribosomal RNA", at positions 524 to 776 of the family's 1533-position model. The record is from RNAcentral.